UAGGAUAUCUCAAUUCAACAUCGAGGUGAUAAACUUUAUUUUGAAUUUGGUCUUCUGAAUAAAAUUAUUCUGUUAUCCCUAAAGUAGCUUUUAUUUAUUAUUCAUUAGCUCCUAUUCUUUUAACUAAUGGGUCGUAUUUAACCUACUUUGUAACUGUUAAAUUAAUAAAUUAUACAGUAUAACUUUUUUAAAUUCUUUUGUUAUAUUUUUGUUUUAUUUUAAAAAUCAUCGCCCCAAUGAAACUACCUUUUAUUAAGAUUUUCUUAAUAAUAAUAGUUAAGCUUUAUAGGGUCUUCUCGUCUUACAAUUUUAAACAGCAUCUUAACUGUUAUUUUAAUUUUUUUUAGUUCAUACUAUGAGACAGUGAGAUUUUCGUUUAGCCAUUCAUACUGUUCACUAAUUAAGUGACGAUUGAUUGUGCUACAUUUUUACAGUUAUGGUUACUGCAGCCAUUUAAUUUUUUUUGUUUAGAUCUUUUUAUAUCUUGUUUUUUUUUAAUCACCGGGC
RNAcentral lists this ribosomal RNA (507 nucleotides) under Gymnangium speciosum. RNAcentral describes it as "partial 16S ribosomal RNA". The record is from RNAcentral. Lineage: Eukaryota; Metazoa; Cnidaria; Hydrozoa; Leptothecata; Aglaopheniidae.